Molecule: long non-coding RNA, 1794 nt
Filed under: Oncorhynchus mykiss (rainbow trout)
Lineage: Eukaryota; Metazoa; Chordata; Actinopteri; Salmoniformes; Salmonidae
Description: lncRNA (ENSOMYG00000050835.1)
Source: RNAcentral
AUGACAACUAAAGCUCAGAGUCCUGCCCGGCGAAACGAACGGCAUGCACCAAGUGUCUGUUCGGAUUCAUCACACACACACACAGACAGAGAGAGAGAAAGAGAGAGGGAGAGAGAGAGAGAGAGAGAGAGGCAGCGGGUCCUUCAUGAAAAUAAAAGAAGAGGGAAGAAGAGUGACACAAGAUCGUCGGAGUGGUGCAUUAAAAUUGAUCUGCAAGUCAGCGGCUGCCAUGAUAGCUGGAAUAAACUUCUCUUUGAAAGGCUCUUUCUCUCUCUCUCUCUCGUCACUUCACUUGUCCUCAGCCAUUCUCUGCUUCCCUCAGAACCAAGACAACUACCCUCUCUGUCCUCAUCAAUUCUUCACCGCUAUUUUGAUGUUUAUUUCCAUAAUUUGCAUAACCUCUCUCUCAUCUGUUCUUUUUUUCACCCCUCUUUAGUUCGCACAGAGCUGCCAUUCCUCUUUCCUUAACUUUAAAACGCUACUUUAAAAUGAAUGCAAAGGAAAUAUAUAAAUAUCUAAAGUUGGCAUGAUGUUGUUGUACAUUAUUCCCUUUGAAAAGUGAUUUUGUUCUCACUUUAAGGGCACUCAGAGAGAUCAGAACAGGCUAACACACACAAUCAUCUCUGUCUUCUCAGGCCUCACCAUCGCUCCUGUCUGUCUGUCUGUCUGUCUGUCUGUCUGUCUGUCUGUCUGUCUGUCUGUCUGUCUGUCUACACAUGCGGAACACCAACCUUCUGGGAAUGAGAGGAAUGACGUUCCCUUCUCUGUGUUUCUCUAACAUGUUUCUCUGACAUGUUUCUCUGACAUGUUUCUCUAACAUGUUUCUCUGACAUGUUUCUCUAACAUGUUUUUUCUCUGACAUGUUUCUCUAACAUGUUUCUCUAACAUGUUUCUCUGACAUGUUUCUCUGACAUGUUUCUCUAACGUGUUUCUCUGACAUGUUUCUCUGACAUGUUUCUCUGACAUGUUUCUCUAACAUGUUUCUCUGACAUGUUUCUCUAACAUGUUUCUCUAACGUGUUUCUCUGACAUGUUUCUCUGACAUGUUUCUCUAACAUGUUUCCAUGUCACUGUGGCGCCACCGUUAUAUCUUGUAUUCAGGUGGUUCAGUCCUGCUCUCAUCCACACUACUCACUAAUCAAGAGAAGCUGUUGAAAGGAACGUUGAACGACACCAAUACAAAUGAAACUGUUAUUGAAAGGGGAUGUUUCCCCGUGUGGAAACAAGCUGAACAGGUAAAGCCACGGGGACAACUAAAAGCUUUUAUUUAGUUCGGUGAUAAAGCCCUCAUAUAAAAAAUAAUAUAGGUUCUGACUCAGAAAGCACGUAAGACAAAUGUGCCUUGAACUGUACGUUUCUCAAACUAUCUGAUCACUGAGAGUUUGAAAGGUACCGAUGCCCCUCAGUAAAAACACGCUGAAUAAACCAUUUCUAAGCCUGUACAUGUCUUACUCCAGUUCUGAAGGGUUGGCAACACGGAUGGGUUUUUCUCUUAGUCGUUUCAUUCCUUUUUCUCUACUUCAAAACUCACACGUCUCUCCCAUUGUCCGUUUGACAGAGGAGAAGAGAGACGGAGAGAAUCCAGAAGAGAGAGAGAAAGAGUGCUGGCAAAUGCCGCACAAAAAAAAAAUAUUAAAAAUGUAUCCCGUUCCAUUUCAAUUCGAGGUACGCAUCACUCUCCAUAAGCAGGGGCUGUCUCUUUAAAUCAGAGGAACUGUCACUUCCCCAGCUGUCUGUUUACAAAAUAGGAGGCUGAAAAUUAGACCUGGUCCCCGUGGACAACCUUGUAUAAAUC